This 137-nucleotide unclassified non-coding RNA is filed under the name rhizosphere metagenome. RNAcentral describes it as "partial ribosomal RNA internal transcribed spacer region". The record is from RNAcentral.
AAACGGCGACGCUUCGGCUUAGCUUUUAUAUCCUAACCACCUGUGAACUAUUUGCCUUCGGGCACAAUCUAAACAUAAUGUAAUGAAUGUAAACUAUUAUAACAAAUACAACUUUCAACAACGGAUCUCUUGGCUCU